AGUGAACGCUGGCGGUAGGCCUAAUACAUGCAAGUCGAACGGCAGCACAGUAAGAGUUUGCUCUUACGGUGGGCGAGUGGCGGACGGGUGAGGAGUACAGCGGAAGCUACUUUUUCGUGGGGGACAACGUAGGGAAACUUACGCUACUACAGCAUACCACUAACGGGUGAAAGUAGGGGAGCUUGGGACCUUUGGCGAUUGAAUGAGCCGAUGUCGGAUUAGUUAGUUGGCGGGGUAAAGGCCCACCAAGGCGACGAUCCGUAGCUGGUCUGAGAGGAUGAUCAGCCACACUGGAACUGAGCCACGGUCCAGACUCCUACGGAGGGCAGCGUUGGGGAAUAUUGGCCAAAGGCGGCAGGCCUGAUCCAGCCCUACCGCGUGGUUGAAGAAGGCCUUCGGGUUGUAAAGCCCUUUUGUUGGGAAAGAAAAGCAGCAGGUUAAAACCCCGCUGUUCUGACGGUACCCAAAGAAUAAGCACCGGCUAACUUCGUG
RNAcentral lists this ribosomal RNA (492 nucleotides) under uncultured bacterium. RNAcentral's name for it is "partial 16S ribosomal RNA". It matches the Rfam family "Bacterial small subunit ribosomal RNA", at positions 29 to 507 of the family's 1533-position model. The record is from RNAcentral.